GGAGAGGCGCACCAGGGCAGGGGUGCCAAGUGCUGGGCGCCCCGGUCUCCGCCGAGCCUGUGGAUCUGGGAGGCCCGCUCCACAGCUCUGUCACUCGGAGACUGACUCAGCUGGCAGCCGUAGGGCCCGGUUGCCGGGGGAAAUGCUGUCGGCACAUUUAUUCUGGGUUUGGAUAUUUAAAGAGCUGGGUGUGUGGCACGACAUUUCGGAAGUGCUUGGGGAGGGAGGGUUUACGGACUAGGGCUUUUUUUUUAACCGUUGUAGAUAUCCUGUCCUGAUCUCUCGGUCCACGAAGAGUGAUUUUCUUCCCUAAGAAUCGGACGUGGGUUCUGCCCAUCGUGUCUGCCUGGCUGUGCAGCCCGGCAGGAAGCAGGUGGCCCGAGCUGGCACCUGGCUGCUGUGGGUCCCCAUCCAGUGCCACCCUGCCCCCCGGACGAGGAGCCGGGCAGUGGCCCCCGAGAUGCAUGUGGAGAAAUCUUCCAGAACUGAGGCCCCGUCAGCGAAUUGCAGCUGUGGUGAAUGUAAAGGAACCGGCUUCUCACACCCCGCACCGUGGCAUCAGCGAUGUCCCCUGCCCUCGAAGUCUUGUGGGUGCAGUUUGCAAGCCUCCGUGGCUCUCCUUUGGCUCCGCCGCCAGCAAAGCAACAUCCAAGACAUUAGCCCACGUUAAGGAGGAAGGAGGACAGGAAAACUGCACAGCAUAAUCCACGUUUAGUUUGCACAGUUUUCUGUAACAAACCUGAGAGUAGAGGCAGGUGAUGUGAUCCGAGGUGCAAGCUCAGUCCUGCCUCCAAACAAGAUGGGUUUCUUGGCCGCCCUGGGCCUCAAUUUCCUCACCUCUAAAGGGUGAACGCUGGUGCUACCCACCCCACAGGUACAUUCUGAAGGUCUGGUGUAGGUGAAAUGAUGCAUAAGAAGCCCAGGGAAGGCCCAGGGAUGGGAACCAUUGUGGCUUUACAGUAUAAUCAUACAAAUUCUAGAAGUUACAGGAUUAUAGGCUGAAUUAUGUCCCCCAAACAUUAAUCUGUUGACGCCCUAACCCCUAGGAGCUCCGAAUGUGAAAGUAUUUGGAGACAGGGGUCUUUACAGGGGUAAUUGCAUGAAAAUGAGGUCCCUAGGGUGGACCCUAAUCCCACGGGACUGGUGUCCUUAAAAGAAGAGUUGAUUAGGACGCAGACGCACACGGAGGGAAGACCACCUGAGGACACAGGGAGAAGACGGCAUCUCCAGGCCAAGGAGGGAGGCCUCCAAAGAAACCGUCCCUGCCGACACCCUGACCUCGGACUUCCAGCCUCCGAACGUCUGUUCUCUACGUCGGUGAGUCCGUCUCUGUUGCGUAAAUAAAGGCAUUGGUGUCGAUACGUAUCGUGUGUCGUGUGAGUGACAUCAUCUGCUUGUAAUCCACGACUGUUGACUCUUGGUGCAGCGUCGGACAGCUGCUAUACCCAGCGCUCGUUCAUCUCACGUGCCUGAAACUUUAUGCCUGUCGAUCAGGAAUACCCCAUUCUCCUCUCCUUCCAGUCCCUGGCAGCCAGCAUUGCGCUCGGGCUCUACGAAUGUGACCUUUUAAUUUCAGAUGCCUCAUAUAUAUACUGGGCAAUUAUUUUGUGCCAGACAAUCUUCUAGGUGCUGGAGAUACAGCAUUGAAGAAAACAGACGAAAUCUCGCCUUCAUGGUAGCUUGCAUUCAAGCGGGAGAAACAUAUGAUAAGCCUCAUAUAAAUGAAGUAGACGUAAACACCCCCCGAUUGCUGCAAGCCUUCGGUUAAUUUUCUGAACUCUGCAAAAGUCGAUGGUGACGAUUUUUGCCGCGGUUCCCAGAGAGGACGUUCAGAGGUCUCUACGCCGACACGACUCUAGACGGGACACUUGAGGCUGGAAGUUGACAUAAACGAAGCUGGCUGGGCAGGGUGCACCCAGAGGUUUCCGUGGAAUCUUCAGUGGGCUAAUUCGCCUGACCGGUUGGAUGCGGCGGAAGUGAUAUGCCGGAACUCCCAGGGCUAGGUGAGGAAACGACUUGCAGCAUUUACUUCCAGGCUUUUGGAACUUGUAAGCAGUCUGACCGUGCUGGGGAGGUGACAUGUAGGCGCUCUGACUGGCAGUCCUCGCUGGGCCUGGCCUCCCAGCCAAGGCACCAGACAUGAGAGUGAGGCCAUCCUGGUCUCCCCAGACCAGCCCAUCUGCUGGCUGAGUAACACUGAGUGAUAUCACUGAUACCAGAGGAAUAGAAGAAUCGCUCAGCUGAGCCCAGCCCAGAUUCCUGAUUGGCAACAUGUAACGUGUGAACGCGGAAGACUGCACCCAGCUGCCGUGAGCUGCUCGGGGAUACAAGACGCAAACACACACAGACCCCCGCCAACACCUCCAGCUACCUCGGUUCACGGCGAACAGGGAGCCGCGCCCCGGCACGCCAGGUGCUACCACUUUCCAUCCGAUUUCAGGCUGCCAUGUUGCAUCACUUUUUCUGUGGAGUUGCUGUGCGGGUUCCGGGGAGAAGAAAAGAAUGAUGCGUAUUAUAACUCAUCAUAAAGUCGCUGAUUUGUCUUCUUUAAGCAACUGCUGUCGAAAUGAGAUGACAAAGAACUUCAGGCUGUAGCUGCCCCAGUGAAGGGAGCUGAGGAAGGGUAAAGACAGUGUGUCACUGGGGAAAGCUGCCAACUAUGGUGGCGUCUCCCUGGCACCAGCCGAACAACCUGAAACCUGAACAGCCACAUCGAUGGGGGACACACAGAGACAGAACAGCUGGGGAAUUGAACAAACUUUCCACUUGGUAGCCUAGUCUCUUGGCGUCAUGGAGAUUAAGAUUUUACUGAUCUCACCGGACAAUUGUUCAAACCUUUGCCAUGCUCUGUUUUCGUAGAUACUCGUUUCGCAUUCCCAGGGAAAAAGAAUCCACACCUGCUUAAUCAUUUCAAACACAACAGAUAGAGGGCAUUUAUUACAAAUUAGUGAGAAAAGCGGUUGUUUCCCCCUCCCCAUUUUUUGCUAGAAUUUCAAAGGUUUCCUCUGUCAGAAAAAGAUGGCUUGGCAAUCUCUAAUGAUAAGGACAAAUUAAAAGGAAAAACUGGCUGAGAGAGAACACGUUUUAUUCUCUUUUUACAUUUAUUUUUAAUUUACGUAAAGUACAGUACAGUAACAUUUGCCCUUUGUGGUGUACAGUUGUGUGGGUUUUGACAACUGCCUAUGCCCACGUAUUGUGUUUCCAUGAGCAUAAUCACAUAGGAAGAGUUCCACCAGUCCCAAAUUCCCUUUGGAGGAGUAGCCCUUCCCCCCAUCCCCACCCCGGCCAACAGUGAUCUGUCCUCUGCCUUUAUAGUUUUGCCUUUUCCAGAACGUUAUAUAAAUGGA
Long non-coding RNA from Physeter macrocephalus (sperm whale), 3347 nucleotides. RefSeq lists it as uncharacterized. NCBI's taxonomy places the organism in Eukaryota, Metazoa, Chordata, Mammalia, Artiodactyla, Physeteridae. The record is from RefSeq and is a predicted model, not a curated record. The transcript is spliced from 10 exons.